RNAcentral lists this transfer RNA (83 nucleotides) under Deltaproteobacteria bacterium. RNAcentral describes it as "tRNA-Asp". It matches the Rfam family "tRNA". Rfam says of the family: Transfer RNA (tRNA) molecules are approximately 80 nucleotides in length. The record is from RNAcentral. Lineage: Bacteria; Pseudomonadati; Myxococcota; Myxococcia.
GGGCGUGUGGCGGAAUGGUAGACGCACCGGCCUGUCACGCCGGGGGAGCUUGCUCCGUGUGGGUUCGAAUCCCACCACGAAAG